CCCGCGGACGGGGGAAUAAUGCCUAGGAAUCUGCCUAGUGGUGGGGGAUAACGUUCGGAAACGGACGCUAAUACCGCAUACGUCCUACGGGAGAAAGCGGGGUGACCUUCGGGCCUCGCGCCAUUAGAUGAGCCUAGGUCGGAUUAGCUAGUUGGUGAGGUAAUGGCUCACCAAGGCUACGAUCCGUAACUGGUCUGAGAGGAUGAUCAGUCACACUGGAACUGAGACACGGUCCAGACUCCUACGGGAGGCAGCAGUGGGGAAUAUUGGACAAUGGGCGAAAGCCUGAUCCAGCCAUGCCGCGUGUGUGAAGAAGGUCUUCGGAUUGUAAAGCACUUUAAGUUGGGAGGAAGGGUAGUAACUUAAUACGUUGCUACUUUGACGUUACCGACAGAAUAAGCACCGGCUAACUUCGUGCCAGCAGCCGCGGUAAUACGAAGGGUGCAAGCGUUAAUCGGAAUUACUGGGCGUAAAGCGCGCGUAGGUGGUUCAGU
Molecule: ribosomal RNA, 494 nt
Filed under: Pseudomonadales bacterium HD-OI-03-2
Lineage: Bacteria; Pseudomonadati; Pseudomonadota; Gammaproteobacteria; Pseudomonadales
Description: bacterial SSU rRNA
Rfam family: Bacterial small subunit ribosomal RNA
Source: RNAcentral